Proteus mirabilis is the source of this 158-nucleotide non-coding RNA. NCBI's taxonomy places the organism in Bacteria, Pseudomonadati, Pseudomonadota, Gammaproteobacteria, Enterobacterales, Morganellaceae. The record is from Rfam.
CGUUGCUUAAUGCAACAUUGCCAAUGCUUCGGUUGUCUGAGAGAAGCGCCUACGGGUGACAACAAUGCCAAUCCGGCAAUCUGAGAGGAACGCCUACGGGUGAUUGCCACUGCCAAUCCUCGGGUCAUCUGAGACGAGGGCCUACGGGCGAUGACAGA